RNAcentral lists this transfer RNA (73 nucleotides) under Candidatus Zixiibacteriota bacterium. Its description in RNAcentral is "tRNA-Phe". It matches the Rfam family "tRNA". Rfam says of the family: Transfer RNA (tRNA) molecules are approximately 80 nucleotides in length. Their secondary structure includes four short double-helical elements and three loops (D, anti-codon, and T loops). Further hydrogen bonds mediate the characteristic L-shaped molecular structure. tRNAs have two regions of fundamental functional importance: the anti-codon, which is responsible for specific mRNA codon recognition, and the 3' end, to which the tRNAs corresponding amino acid is attached (by aminoacyl-tRNA synthetases). tRNAs cope with the degeneracy of the genetic code in two manners: having more than one tRNA (with a specific anti-codon) for a particular amino acid; and 'wobble' base-pairing, i.e. permitting non-standard base-pairing at the 3rd anti-codon position. Lineage: Bacteria; Pseudomonadati; Candidatus Zixiibacteriota. The record is from RNAcentral.
GCCACUCUAGCUCAGUUGGUAGAGCAACGGACUGAAAAUCCGUGUGUCCCCAGUUCGAUUCUGGGGGGUGGCA